AACGAACGCUGGCGGCAUGCCUAACACAUGCAAGUCGAACGAGACCUUCGGGUCUAGUGGCGCACGGGUGCGUAACGCGUGGGAACCUGCCCUUAGGUUCGGAAUAACUCCCCGAAAGGGGUGCUAAUACCGGAUAAUGUCUUCGGACCAAAGAUUUAUCGCCUUUGGAUGGGCCCGCGUUGGAUUAGCUAGUUGGUAGGGUAAAAGCCUACCAAGGCGACGAUCCAUAGCUGGCCUGAGAGGAUGAUCAGCCACACUGGGACUGAGACACGGCCCAGACUCCUACGGGAGGCAGCAGUGGGGAAUAUUGGACCAUGGGCGAAAGCCUGAUCCAGCAAUGCCGCGUGAGUGAUGAAGGCCUUAGGGUUGUAAAGCUCUUUUACCCGGGAUGAUAAUGACAGUACCGGGAGAAUAAGCUCCGGCUAACUCCGUG
Molecule: ribosomal RNA, 433 nt
Filed under: uncultured bacterium
Lineage: Bacteria
Description: partial 16S ribosomal RNA
Rfam family: Bacterial small subunit ribosomal RNA
Source: RNAcentral